UUCGCAAUGCCCGAAAGGGUGACGAAGCGACGCCGCGUGGGUGAGGAAGGCCUUCGGGUUGUAAAGCCCUGUCAGGAGUUAAGAAAUGUAAGUGUGCUAAUAUCGCAUUUACUUGACGAAGGCUCCAAAGGAAGUCACGGCUAACUCUGUGCCAGCAGCCGCGGUAAUACAGAGGUGGCAAGCGUUGUUCGGAAUUAUUGGGCGUAAAGAGCACGUAGGUGGGUUUGUAAGUCAGGUGUGAAAGCCUCCUGUUCAACGGGAGAAUUGCAUCUGAAACUACUGAUCUUGAGUAUAGGAGGGGAGAAUGGAACUUCUGGUGGAGCGGUGAAAUGCGUAGAUAUCAGAAGGAACGCCGGCGGCGAAAGCGAUUCUCUGGCCUAUUACUGACACUCAGUGUGCGAAAGCUAGGGGAGCAAACGGGAUUAGAUACCCCGGUAGUCCUAGCCGUAAACGAUGGGCACUAAGUAGAGGGGUUUU
RNAcentral lists this ribosomal RNA (477 nucleotides) under Candidatus Scalindua brodae. RNAcentral's name for it is "bacterial SSU rRNA". It matches the Rfam family "Bacterial small subunit ribosomal RNA", at positions 365 to 832 of the family's 1533-position model. The record is from RNAcentral. Lineage: Bacteria; Pseudomonadati; Planctomycetota; Candidatus Brocadiia; Candidatus Brocadiales; Candidatus Scalinduaceae.